GGAUGAACGCUGGCGGCGUGCCUUAAGCAUGCAAGUCGAACGGUGAGAGUCGCAAGAUUCAAGCAGUGGCGGACGGGUGAGUAUAAGCAAGGAACGUACCCUAAACUCCUCUAUAGCUCGUCGAAAGACGGGGUAAUUGGGGAUGUGGAUGCAAAUCUAAAGGGAUUAACCUCCCGGUUUAGGAGCGGCCUUGUUCCUAUCAGCUUGUUGGUGGGGUAAUGGCCUACCAAGGCUCUGACGGGUAGGGGGUGUGAGAGCACGACCCCCCACAAUGGCACUGAGAAACGGGCCAUACAUCUACGGAUGGCAGCAACUGGGAAUCGUUGGCAAUGGGCGAAAGCCUGACCACGCGACGCCGCGUGAGGGAUGAAGUAUUUCGGUAUGUAAACCUCUUUUAUAGAACUAUCAUGGUUCUAAGAAUAAGCACCUACAAACUACGUGCCAGCAGUCGCGGUAAUACGUAGGGUGCAAGCGUUAUCCGGAUUUACUGGGCGUAAAGGGUCGUGUAGGUGGUUUUCCGCAUUGUUCCUGAAAGCCCGAGGCUUAACCUCGGCGUUGGGAACAAGAUGGGGAGACUUGAGGGUUGCAGAGGCAAGGGGAACUCAUGGUGGAGCAGUGAAAUGCGUUGAUAUCAUGAGGAACACCAAAGGCGAAGGCACCUUGCUGGGCAACAUCUGACACUCAGACACGAAAGCUAGGGGAGCGAAGCAGAUUAGAGACCUGCGUAGUCCUAGCCCUAAACGCAUGUCUGCUAGAUGCCUCCGAUUUAUCGGGGGUGUCGUAAGCUAACGCGUUAAGCAGACCGCCUGGGGAGUACGAUCGCAAGAUUAAAACUCAAAG
Molecule: ribosomal RNA, 840 nt
Filed under: uncultured bacterium
Lineage: Bacteria
Description: bacterial SSU rRNA
Rfam family: Bacterial small subunit ribosomal RNA
Source: RNAcentral